Molecule: long non-coding RNA, 553 nt
Filed under: Bos taurus (domestic cattle)
Lineage: Eukaryota; Metazoa; Chordata; Mammalia; Artiodactyla; Bovidae
Description: long non-coding RNA NONBTAT025433
Source: RNAcentral
AAUUCCUACUUAAGUACUUGAAUAAAUAGCCGAGCGCAAAAUUGGAGAGCUUUAGUUCUCAAAAUCACUUACCCAUCUCAAAGUCCUGCAGAGAGGAGAGGUAAGACAUGAGCCUGUCUGUGCAGAGCACUUUCAUCUUCCCAGGGAAGAGGCAGUGAGCUCACCUCCAUCGUCACAUACUCUGUGGAGCCCAUGGAGGACUCAGUUCUGCUCCAAGUCGUGUGUCAGUGAGUCCAGCUCCUCCCAGAACACAAGUUCGUGUUGAUGACAUGCUUUCUCGUUUUUAUUCUCAUGGUUGUCUGACAUCAUAACAGAUCAUCUGUUCCCAUCUGUUCCCUUUGGGGCAUUUGCCUUUUAAGUUCUAAGAGAUUUUAGAAAAAUACAAAGGCACCGUAUGGAUUAGCAGUUGUGGUACUGAUGAUGGAUUUCCAUAGUGCAUAAAUUGAGGCAUUUUUCUAAAUGUAGUGUGAGCUCAUUGUGUUUAAGUUGAUCAGUAGUUGAAACUAUGCCUUAUCAUCAUUUGAAUUCCUCAUCCUUGAAUUCCUUUUGCUGA